This 253-nucleotide ribosomal RNA is filed under the name uncultured bacterium. RNAcentral's name for it is "partial 16S ribosomal RNA". It matches the Rfam family "Bacterial small subunit ribosomal RNA", at positions 524 to 776 of the family's 1533-position model. The record is from RNAcentral.
UACAGAGGUCCCAAGCGUUGUUCGGAUUCAUUGGGCGUAAAGGGUGCGUAGGCGGCGCGGUAAGUCGGGUGUGAAAUCUCGGGGCUUAACUCCGAAACUGCAUUCGAUACUGCCGUGCUUGAGGACUGGAGAGGAGACUGGAAUUUACGGUGUAGCGGUGAAAUGCGUAGAUAUCGUGAGGAAGAACAGUUGCGAAGGCGACUCUCUGGGCAAUUCCUGACACUGAGGCACGAAGGCCAGGGGAGCAAACGGG